Molecule: ribosomal RNA, 782 nt
Filed under: uncultured Actinomycetales bacterium
Lineage: Bacteria; Bacillati; Actinomycetota; Actinomycetes; Actinomycetales
Description: bacterial SSU rRNA
Rfam family: Bacterial small subunit ribosomal RNA
Source: RNAcentral
GACGAACGCUGGCGGCGUGCUUAACACAUGCAAGUCGAACGGUGAACCUUCUUCGGGAGGGGAUCAGUGGCGAACGGGUGAGUAACACGUGGGCAACCUGCCCCAGACUUCGGGAUAACUCCGGGAAACCGGGGCUAAUACCGGAUAUGACUUCUGUCCGCAUGGUCGGGAGUGGAAAGUUUUUCGGUCUGGGAUGGGCCCGCGGCCUAUCAGCUUGUUGGUGGGGUGAUGGCCUACCAAGGCGACGACGGGUAGCCGGCCUGAGAGGGCGACCGGCCACACUGGGACUGAGACACGGCCCAGACUCCUACGGGAGGCAGCAGUGGGGAAUAUUGCGCAAUGGGCGAAAGCCUGACGCAGCGACGCCGCGUGGGGGAUGAAGGCCUUCGGGUUGUAAACCUCUUUCAGCAGGGACGAAGCUUUCGGGUGACUGUACCUGCAGAAGAAGCACCGGCUAACUACGUGCCAGCAGCCGCGGUAAUACGUAGGGUGCAAGCGUUGUCCGGAAUUAUUGGGCGUAAAGAGCUCGUAGGCGGUUUGUCACGUCGGAUGUGAAAACCCGGGGCUUAACCUCGGGCCUGCAUUCGAUACGGGCUGACUAGAGUUCGGUAGGGGAGACUGGAAUUCCUGGUGUAGCGGUGAAAUGCGCAGAUAUCAGGAGGAACACCGGUGGCGAAGGCGGGUCUCUGGGCCGAUACUGACGCUGAGGAGCGAAAGCGUGGGGAGCGAACAGGAUUAGAUACCCUGGUAGUCCACGCCGUAAACGUUGGGCGCUAGGUGUG